Molecule: ribosomal RNA, 508 nt
Filed under: uncultured bacterium
Lineage: Bacteria
Description: partial 16S ribosomal RNA
Rfam family: Bacterial small subunit ribosomal RNA
Source: RNAcentral
GACGAACGCUGGCGGCGUGCUUAACACAUGCAAGUCGAACGGAAAGGCUCCAGCUUGCUGGAGUACUCGAGUGGCGAACGGGUGAGUAACACGUGGGUAAUCUGCCCUGCACUCUGGGAUAAGCCUGGGAAACUGGGUCUAAUACUGGAUAUGACCUUUCUCCUUAUGGGGUUUGGUGGAAAGUUUUUCGGUGUAGGAUGAGCCCGCGGCCUAUCAGCUUGUUGGUGGGGUGAUGGCCUACCAAGGCGACGACGGGUAGCCGGCCUGAGAGGGUGAUCGGGGGCAGUGGAGGUGAGGUACGGCCGCGGGUGCGACGGAAGGGAGCAGUGGGAAUUACGGCACAAUGGGCGGAAGCGUGAUGGAGCGGGGCGGGGUGGGGGUGGACGGCCGUCGGGGUACAACCCUCUUUGGGCAGAGGGGAAGAGUAAGAGACCGAACCAGAAAAAGAAGGACCGACUAACUAGGGAGCAGCGGCGGAAGAAAUAAGAGGAAGAGCACACGAAGAAAC